This 370-nucleotide ribosomal RNA is filed under the name Priestia megaterium. Its description in RNAcentral is "bacterial SSU rRNA". It matches the Rfam family "Bacterial small subunit ribosomal RNA", at positions 966 to 1332 of the family's 1533-position model. Lineage: Bacteria; Bacillati; Bacillota; Bacilli; Caryophanales; Bacillaceae. The record is from RNAcentral.
GAACCUUACCAGGUCUUGACAUCCUCUGACAACUCUAGAGAUAGAGCGUUCCCCUUCGGGGGACAGAGUGACAGGUGGUGCAUGGUGGUCGUCAGCUCGUGUCGUGAGAUGUUGGGUUAAGUCCCGCAAGGGGCGCAACCCUUGAUCUUAGUUGCCAGCAUUUAGUUGGGCACUCUAAGGUGACUACCGGAGACAACCCGGAGGAAGGUGGGCAUGACGUCAAAUCGUCAUGCCCCUUAUGACCUGGGCUACACACGUGCUACAAUGGAUGGUGCAAACGGCCAGCAAGACCCCGGGGACUAUCCAAUCCCAGAAAACCUUUCUUAUUUAGAAGUGUCAGACUGCAGCUCGCCUACAUGAAAGCUGGAAU